This 1516-nucleotide long non-coding RNA is filed under the name Nicotiana benthamiana. Its description in RNAcentral is "long non-coding RNA (NBEN_LNC026195)". The record is from RNAcentral. Lineage: Eukaryota; Viridiplantae; Streptophyta; Magnoliopsida; Solanales; Solanaceae.
GCUCCUGCAGUCCAGAAGUCCAGGGCUUGCCAUUCACAAGCACAUCCUCAACAAAAGCGUCAACAUCCGACACCUUCAAAUUCCUUGAUUAAAAGCACCAGACACAAACUCAAGCUCAAGGUAAGAUAAUGCUUGGAGAUGCAUACAAUGGCUAGGUCAAAUACUUGCAAUAAAAUCAAGAGGAAAAUCAGAAACUAGUCGAAUUUGACUAACCUAUUCCAAUUAAAUCUAACUAGAUCAAUUCAUUUAUAUUUUAAUUAAAAUUUGGAUAAUCAGAAACUAGUCGAAAAAUACUACUCCUAAAAAUUCUGAUAUGGAAGGUACCAAAUAUUGGUCAAUUUCAUAAGGUUGUGAAGAAGAAAAAAAGAAUAAAGUCAAAAUUCAUCAUGGUUAUUUCUCCUCUUGUCUCCAGAUAGCCUAUUUAUGUAUUUCAUCACUGCUACACACAGAAUACUAAAGGAGGACGAAUUUUUCGCAGCCUAAUACAAUGAUAUAAAAAUAAUAACAAAAUAAAAGUAAAAGAACAUACAAGAUUGUCGAAAACUACCUGUAUUUGAUCAUUUCAGGAAAAAUCAGAACAUCUCCAUCUGAUAGUCCAAUGUUUUCGCGUACUUCGCAAAUCGUCAAAACAGUCUACCACAAAUAGUCACCGAGCCAAAAACGCAUUAAACUCAAUUUCACACUUGCUAAGCUAACAUCAUAAAACUAUUAAAGGCAUUCUAAUUGACCGAACUAGAAUUCUUAUAUUGUGUACUAAAUUUAUCCACCACACAUUUGAAAGGCUAAUAACUUAAACCUACUAAUUGCAUUCUAAUAGAGAAGCUAGAAUUCUUAUUAAUUCGUAUGAAAUUUUGAACAUUUCUAUAAAGUUCUUGCAAUUAUAUGACUGAGAUUUUUCAUUUUAUAUAGAGUUUAAAUUUUAUGCACUGACACUGUAACAGUUAUUUACACAAUUAGGUCACUACAAGGUAGUGACCGGUAAAUCUCUACAAUAAUAGUAAUUAGUAACAUGAUAAAAAAGGUAACUAACGAGGUUAAACAACACAUGACAGUGUGAAAAAUCAUUUAUAUUGCUAGUAUAUAUAACUUUAAUCCUUUUAUAUAAACAUUCAAAAACUUAAAAAUUUCAUUAAGUUAUCCGUAGUAGAUCAAAAAUAUUAAAUUUAUUAUCUAUACUAGAUCCAAAAAGAACCGACUGCUAACUUCAAAUUAGAAACUAAAAUCAAUAGAAAUGAAGUUAAAUGUAACGUCGUUGACUUAAGUAAUCAGUUGAAAAUAACUAACCUUAAGCUUGAUUUCAUCCUUACGAGCUUUAAGAGUAGCAGCGAGAAGCUUCGGAAGUGGAUCGGAGUCUGAGGAUUCAACGUGAGAAGGCCAAGUUUCAUGUGAUUUAUAACAGAGGAAAACGUGACGAUUGUAAACUGUAGCAGUGCCGGAGAGUUUAAGUUCGUACAUCUCCGAACGUUUGAACCCGAAAUCAACGUCGUCAGUGACGAUGUCCUCCGAGUUUCCAGCC